GUCCCAAUGUGUUGACAGCUUGGCCCCCAGUACAGCAAUCUUCAGAGAUGAUGCUUUGGAAGACUCGGGACAGCAGGAGGAGGGCAGAAGCUGGUGAAGCCUCUCCCUGGUGGUGACAGAUUCUUGUUUUUAAAUUCCUGUGGACAGGCCUUAUCCUCUGCUGGCUCCUGAGAGAACAUCACAUUAGUUAGUUUAUCCCAAAUAUCUUUGAAGAGAACUUGCAGUGAGCAGAACAUGGCAGUGGGGUGGAGGAAGGCAGAAGGAAUUUUUCAGAACCUUUGCCCAUCCCAUGCCCACCCCUCACCCCUGCCCAAGAGGAAAUGAGACACAAUCAUAUAUGCUUCCAAGUACACACCCGGAACAUCGUCUGGCAUUUUCAAACCAUGCAGAAUCCUGGACCCUGCCCUCCCCAAACCUAAGGGACAAGAAUCUACAUUUUAACAAGCUGCUUGGAGGACUUGAAGGCACGCUGAAGCCUGAGAAGCAGCGAUGUGGAGAAUAUUUGAAAUGUUCUUUCAGACGUCUGAUUCCUCCAGUCACAAACUUCCUUCCAGGCCCAGGGAGGAAGAUAGACAGGUCAGAGAUUUUUAAAGAGUGAGUAAGAUUUACAUGGUCUUUUAAAUGCUAAAAAAGAUCCAUUCUGGGCUGAGUCUGAGGAGAAGAGGCAUUCAUUUUAAGCAGGUCAUCUCACACACACACACACACACACACACACACACACACACACACACACGUACACACUUACAUCCACACACACACACACGCAUUCAUGCACACACGCACUGCAGUUGCCAUCACAAGAAGUCCUCUAGCAGUUCCAGCUGUGCAAAAUCCGAAGGCAUGCAGAGUGGAAGAUUCCCACCUCUCCUAAAUUCAACAAUUAUACAAAGCAGGAAGGAUUUAAUUUUUCAUUUGUUUGUUUUGAGUUAGGGUCUCACUACACAGUAGUUCAGGCUGGCUUGAAAUCACUAAGUAGCCUCGUCUGGCCUAGAACCUCCAGCGAUUCUCCUGGCUCAGCCUCCCAAGUGGUGGGAUUAUAGGCGUGCACCACAAUGCCCAACUGUUUUGUCUUAUUUGUUUUUGCUUUGUUUUGUCUUGUUUUUUUGAGAAACAGUCUCAAAUAUUUUGAACUUGCCCAAUCCUACAGCAAAGCAAAGCUCCUUCCAUAUCUUCCUGAAAAGGGUUACAGACUCAGGUGGAAUGGAGGAAGAUCUGGACAGUUCCACUGCUUCCUCACAAAAGCAACCUCAAAGUCAAGAUGUUUCUUGAGUGGCCCAGUGGCAAAAAUCACAAUAAAAAAAAUUUGACAGGGGCAUAUUUCAGGUGUCAGUUCCAAUGGGUGAGUAACAGUCAAGGAAUAAAAACCACCCAAUAUAAAAGAUAUCCCACUUUGAAGCUGACAGGGAAUAUUGACUUAUAUCCUUACUUUUCCCAAGUGUCAUAUCCCCCAGGAGUCACACUGACACUGCAAAGGUUUCUUGUGAAAUAAUUCCUUCACCAGCAUCAGGGAAUAGCCCUGCCCUUUGAUCCAAACAGAUACAAUCUCGAAAGUUCCCUCAGUUACACAUCUCCAGAUGGGCUGCCCAAAAUAAGAGCUCUGAAAGGAGAGAACAGGAGAAAAGUGUGCAUCAGUGUGGAAGGAGCAAGCUGUUAUAAAAAGAAGAGGGACAAAUUCUAGAAUGUGCAUUCCAUGAACAGACUCCAUGUGUGAUAUGUAGAAGGCAUUUUAUAUCCUUCACAGCUUUCACUUAAUCUGCAGAUUUUUGCCAGUCAUGUUCACGAUUAUAGCUGUAUGCAACUCUUCAUAACACAAAAGCUAAAAAAAGGCCAAAACUUUCACCUUGGACAAUCUGAAUUCUAUAGCUUUCGACUUUCUCUCUAGACACACGUACACACACCUACAACCACCACCACCACCACAUGUGGUAGCCAUCAUAGUAACAUCAUGUCAUUGCCCACUGAACCCCAAGACAUCAGGAUCUCAGGCCUCAGGACCAAACAUAAGCCUACUUCCUGCCCCAGGUCCUCCUUGUCCUUUAGAGACAAGACAUUGAACUUGGCUUCUAAACUGGAAAUAUUCAGGGACUGAACCAAGUCACCAUCUCGCUGCAGUACAACCCUAAAAUAACCCCCACGUGUACACACACAGCCCUACAUAUGCUUCCUUGGCCUUCGAAAGCUAUUUUUCUCUACUUUUAUUAGAUUUUGAAUCCACCUCCAUGGCACUGCAAGUCUGAGGACGGUCCAAUCUGCUGCAGAUUUGAGCCAGCUCCGACAACACGAGGAAAUUGUUGGCCAGUUCUACCCUGCUAUAAAAAUAAGCAAACCUGAGCUCUGUUUUCUCUUCAUCACGUGCAGGCUGAUGGAAGCCAGAACUCAGUCAUAAAGAAUCGGGAUAUUUUGCCUCUUCAGAAGAACUUUGGUGGACGAAGAGAAGAAAGGGGCUUUAAAUAUGGAAUAAGCACUCUUGAAUAGGAAACAAGGCAGAGAGAGGGAGAGAGAGAGAGAGAAAGAGAGAAUGUGUGUGUGUGUGUGUGUGUGUGUUUGGCUCCCAGCCAGGUUGCAAAUGUGUUUUCAAAGCCAAUUACAAUGCAGAGAUCGAGCAGUCUAUCUGUUCUUCCAGCAGAUUGCUAAGGCCAAUCAGCUGUGUGGGGCUUUCGGGAGCCCCUCAUUCUUGGAGACGGGGGACAGUUCUCUAUAGAAGCCUCUUGAUAUAAGAAAGGAUUUCUUUUAAAAAGGACAUCUUUUAUUUCCCCAUCUGUUUCCUCUCACAGCACAAUUUGGGGUCAACUCGGGUCUUACAACAUUCAGAAGGAUAAUUUGGCACUUUCCUUCAGUAACUGUGAAGAUGUAGACUGCAAAGGGCUCACUCUGCCUACUGUUUUCUCUGCAGAGAAGCCCAGGGUGAUGGGACCACCCCCCCAACCGCCUGGAUCUCAGGAUCUGUUAUAAAUAGACAAGGGGUGAAUGACUUUGGAAGGGCAAAAAAGAACAACCCCCCUCCCCCAAGAAAAGGGUGUUAAUUGAAGCUGUUUUCAAAAAUUGCAAAUCCCUGGAUGUAACUGCUUAAAGCAAAUGAGACAUUAGCGCUCCUAGGAAGAGCUAGACUAUGUGGAAGGCAGUAGGCCGGGCCUUGAUGGCUAUCUCAGCUUUUAAACUGGUGAGAGUUGGCUUCUCAAGUCCAAACAUGCAGGUACAAAGGACACUUAAUCACAAACAGCUGAAAACUCUGAUAUAAAUCCCAAUAAAGUGGAGGAAAGAACAAAAACACAGAGACAUUUUAGCAGCCGCUGAACAAAUGAACUGUCCCUGCUCUUCACCUUCUCCUCCUCAGGGCUGAGCUCCCUGGACAGAAGGGUAAUCAAACUGAUGGUGCGCGGCUGCCUCACAAUACAAGCCACACCUCUUCUGUCUCUGCCAUAUCAGGUUUCCUGUCUACUUUCACAGGAUCAGAGAUUUCUUUCCAUCCUCUUCUUCUGCAAAACUCAAGGGUACAGGGAAAACCACCCACCUCAUGGACAGUCUAAUUUUUUAUUAUUUCUAAAUAUAGUGCCAAAGGAAUGCUGAAAAUAAAAUCAUUUACAACAAAAUGGUCCUUGUGAAAGCAUAACUAUUUCUAUACAAUGCCUUAUAUCACCAGAAAAAGGAAGAGGAGAAAUGGAUACAAAGAGAACUAGAAAUUCAUUUCUAGUUAAGUCUACUAGGUGGUGUGAAGAG
Molecule: long non-coding RNA, 3717 nt
Organism: Cavia porcellus (domestic guinea pig)
Lineage: Eukaryota; Metazoa; Chordata; Mammalia; Rodentia; Caviidae
Exons: 3
Source: RefSeq, a predicted model, not a curated record